GAUGAACGCUAGCUACAGGCUUAACACAUGCAAGUCGAGGGGAAACGACAUCGAAAGCUUGCUUUGAUGGGCGUCGACCGGCGCACGGGGUGAGUAACGCGUAUCCAACCUGCCCCGCCACUUGGGAAUAACCUUGCGAAAGUAAGACUAAUGCCCAAUGACAUUUAUAGAAGGCAUCUGAAAUGAAUUAAAGAUUUAUCGGUGAUGGAUGGGGAUGCGUCUGAUUAGCUUGUUGGCGGGGUAAGGCCCACCAAGGCGACGAUCAGUAGGGGUUCCUGAGAGGAAGGUUCCCCCCAANAUUGGAACUGAGACACGGU
Molecule: ribosomal RNA, 317 nt
Filed under: uncultured bacterium
Lineage: Bacteria
Description: bacterial SSU rRNA
Rfam family: Bacterial small subunit ribosomal RNA
Source: RNAcentral